Mycena vulgaris is the source of this 93-nucleotide non-coding RNA. The record is from the annotation of a GenBank genome assembly. NCBI's taxonomy places the organism in Eukaryota, Fungi, Basidiomycota, Agaricomycetes, Agaricales, Mycenaceae.
GGCCUGGUGGUGUAGUGGUUACAUGCCUGCUUUACUUGUAAUCUUUGAAUUUGGUUUUAGCGGGGGUCCCUUGUUCGACUCAAGGCUAGACCA